AGUCAUAAUGGGAAAGCCAUGUGGAGGCAGCAGAGUGCCUGGUGUCCAAGGAAGCAUGUAUAGGGGGUACAUAUGGUGGCAGUUGUAUGCUCAGCAGAAGAAGCACCAGGGAGGUGAAGGUCACGUUGACAGCAUGAACCUUCGAUGUGAUGUGAGGAAAAUGGCAUUCUACCUCUGUGUUCUUCCUCCCCAAAAUUUGUAACCACCAUCUAAUCAUGAGGAAAACAUCAUACAAGUCCAAAUUGAGGAAGAUUCUACAAAAUGCCUGAUUAAUAUUCAUCGAAACUGUCAAGGUCAUCAAAAGCAAGGAAAGUCUGAGAAACUGCCACAGCCUAAAGACAAUCCAGGGAAACGUGAUGACUCAGUGGUAUUCGGGGUGGGUUUCUGGAACAGCAAAAGGACAACAGUGUUAACAUCUGGGCCAAACAUCUGGGCAGCAACAUCAGAAAGCCCCUCUGCUGUGCUUCAGGAUCACUCUUAUCACUGCAUAAAGGUACCCUGAGCCACUAUCUAAAUUGUCUGCUUACCUUAUGAAGACACCAUAAGGAGGUAUAACGUGUGGUGAGCACAGGUGAAGAGCUAGAGGCCUGAAACUAGAUGGGGAGGGAGAAGCCAGCCAUGCCUGCAUCCAGGGCUGCACUCAGCCUCCCAGCAUCUGUGCAGAGGCAUCAGUCAAGCCACAGCUAACUGCAGUCCCAGCUAACAUUAUGUGGAACAUCCCAGUCAUCCCAGAUCAUCCCAGUCAACCAAGAUCAUAAAAUUGUUUUCAGCUAUUAAGUUUAAAUAUGUGAAAUAAGGAGAUAAAAAUACUGACUUGGACUCUGUCUGAAUGAAAGGAUUAGUAGAUUAGAUUAGUGAUUCUUAAAAGACUUUCUUGGAUGCAUAUAAGUGUCCACAAAAUAAGAGUAUGAUGGUUUCCAGGUACAAAUAAGAUGGAAAACUAUUUUGUGAAUCAGAAUUAAAUUGGUUUAUUUACUGUAGAACUUCUAAGAGGCUUUAACAUGUACAUUUAAUUAUCAUAAGCCUUAUGAAAACUCCAGGAGGACAGAAGAGUUGCCUGUGACUUUUUUUAAAGUGUUUAUUCACAUCCCAAGGAAGGAUUCCCAGAAGAGAUGAUGCCUAAGCAGUGUCCCAACCAUGAAAUAAAGUCUCCUAGCUACUGGACAAGAUCAUCUCGAAGCUUAUUUCCAGCUCCAAAUGUUAUUAUUUUCCUCAAACCCAUUAUAAAAUGGCCUCUCUUAGCACUAUGAGAUCUGUAAUACAAGAAGUAGAACAAACACAUGAAGUUCCUGUUGGAAAUUCAAACUUCUCAUACAGCCUUCACUGAGUUCUACUCAUUAUGGAUAAAGGCUUCUGCUUUGAGUCACCUAAGUACUUUUGACCCCCAACUUAAUCAAUGCCUUGAAGUGAAAAUACAGUGUCAGGCAGUCCCUAUUCAUGACACAAACAAACCAACCAACUCAUAUCAUGACUUAAUGGUGUGAGACCUCAGUAAAAACUUUAUAUGAACUAAAUUUGUCUCAUUUGUAUCUUCUCAUACCUGUCACAGAAUUUCCUCUGUCCAAUGACACUGGUCCUUCGAUAGUCUUAGCUGUCUUUUCCUUCUUAAACUAACAAAAAUAAAAGUGAAAGAAACAACA
RNAcentral lists this long non-coding RNA (1640 nucleotides) under Homo sapiens (human). RNAcentral describes it as "long intergenic non-protein coding RNA 1277". The record is from RNAcentral. Lineage: Eukaryota; Metazoa; Chordata; Mammalia; Primates; Hominidae.